This is a long non-coding RNA of Xenopus laevis (African clawed frog), 2753 nucleotides long. RefSeq lists it as uncharacterized. The transcript is spliced from 2 exons. The record is from RefSeq and is a predicted model, not a curated record. Lineage: Eukaryota; Metazoa; Chordata; Amphibia; Anura; Pipidae.
AGGAGGGUGUAGAAAGGGGCAGGAUGGUUUGUACUUUCCCAGUGCUUUUUUUUUUUUUUUAAUCUGUUUUCGUCAACUUGGAAGGCAGCCAGGAGCUGCUCUGGGAAUGCACAGAGAGGGAGGGGAGAGAGGGAGUUUGUAAAGGAGGAGGGUAAAGCUGAUCCCGGGACAGGGGUGUGAUUAGCAACAUAACCCCUUGGUCACCAGUAGCAAUACACACUGCUCUACUGCAGCCUCCCCCUCCCUACAGCACAGGGGGUUAAAGGGGAAGAGCUACAGAUGUGCUGUGUGUAGUGGGUGUUUUUGGAAGAGGAUGGGUACAUAUUUAGGCCCGGGCCUCAGCUAGCACAGCUGGAGCAGGCAGCACAAAGACAAGCAGAUUAGUGGCAAGGGGGAGGAGACUGGCAGAGAGGCCGGAUUAAGGGGUGGAAUAGGAGGGCUGGCUGUGAGUUUAUAAUGAUAAAUAGAGAAAACUCUUCCUUACAACAAACUGGCACACGUACGAGAGAAGAAAAUGAACUUAGCGCCUAUUAAAUAUGUAAGCCUCUGAGGAUGGAGACAGAAAACAGACUGUGUGAUCUUCCGAGAGGCAAAACAAAAAAUCACCCCUCCGACUUGUUCCCAAGCUCAGGCAAUAAAUAAAUGAACCAAUACAGCAAUAGUAGAGCAUCUACGAUAGCCAUGCUAAUAGGCCAUUAACAUGAUUAGCAAGAAAACCCACAGUGUACGCUAACAUUGCUUGUAAAAAGAUACACCAUAACACACUCACUUGUCCAACUGUGCUAAAGAUUAUUUUUAGGUCAAACCCCACCCCUCCUACGUAAUAUAAAAGGCAACAAAUUCAUAAAAUAUAAAAGUCACAUGGCUGGGCCCCAGCAUGUUAUGUGAUGUGUUUGGAUCUGACGACCGCCCAAAUCAACCCCAGACACACGAGUUGCAACACAGUGAUGUUUAACCCUUUGCAUGCAUACACACGUGUAUCAAUAUUCACACGUCGGCAGUGGUGUGAGAACAGGAGCAAGGAUCAUUGGGUAUCAAGUGUCAUGCUAGGAGUCACAGAGCCGAGUUGCUACCCUAUUCAAACAGACCAUAAUAGCAACACAAACACUGGACACUAGUCUCUACUUUGGGCCCUGCAGAGGUACAACACCAACGAUGUCUCCCAACAACUUAGCAGAAUAAAGACCACCCAGGUCACUACAUUCUGUGUCCCAAAAUACAGAAUAAUAAAAUCAUGCCUUAUCUUCCCGCUAUUCUCCGUCUCAGUAUUAAGUGCAAGCUCUUAAGAGCAUGGAUCUCUGCUGCUGUAAUUAUCUUUAUAAACCCUGUAAGCUAAAAAAAAAAACAUGUUCAGUGACCUUAGUAUAAUUAACUAAUAAUGCACUACAGGAAUACCGGUCCACAGCUAGAAAAUGAUUUCUACACCACUUUAUCUCUGGAUCAACUGUUUACAAUUAAAAAUCUUGAAGGAGGUCUAACCCAAAAGAAAAAAAAAUAGGUAUAUAAUGGUAAGCAACUUUCCAAUAUAAAUAUCAUUAUCAGUCUGUGCUUUUCUGCAUUGCUUGUUCUGUCUUCUGAAACAAAUCAAGCUUGCAUAUUGUUUAAGAGAUCUGUUAAUCAGCCGGCUUCUGUAACAUCAUUUCAAAAGUCACAACCCACCGGGGUAAUAGAAAGGGACAAAAUACUGUCAGUAAGAUUUAGAUUGACAUUUACAAUUGUGCUACAAUUUAAUUUACUAGGCAAAAUAUUUUUGCAUUACAUUCCUUUGAAGGAAGAGAUACUUUAGGUCAACUAUUGUCCCACGUGACGUUAAUUACUAGAAAGCGAUUUUCUACAUGUUGCCGGACUACAACUCCCAGCAGCCACUUGCAGGGUACCACUGAGACAUGAGACAAGCAGCAUUAGGCAGGGCAUUUCAGUUCAUAUUAGAUAUAUAAAUAUGUACUUUACUAAACAAUGUUGCAAGAUGUCACACUUUGGUCAAGAAAGAAACUGCUAUAAAAUAACACUUUAACAAAUAAUCUGUGUACAUUGUAUCUAGUUGUAUGCCACCUGUAAAACAAAACAUGGCCUUUCUAAGCCAUAAGGUUGUCUUAGGGGUCAGGCCUAUUGAUUUUCAACUAUUGUUAAAUUAUGAUUCUCAGCAGCCUUUACAGAAGAAUACAGAAUGGUUGGACAUUUUUCUAGACAAAACAGGGUCAGUUAUCGGGGUGACAUUGAAGAUACAACUGAACGGAGACAGGUCAAUGCUGGGGGACAUGAAAAUGUUUUGUAUUGCUCUAUAUGAGGAAAUGGAAAUGUUUCCUACAAGGUAACGCAACAGUGUAAACAAAUGUACCAGUCAUGUGAUGACCAGACUUUGCUUAACUACAACACCCAGGAGUCUGUGCAAGGCUUGGGAUGUUGGGAAGUUGAUUCACAGGCACUGGAUAGAUGCAGGUGAGCCAAAUCUGUUCUGCACAGAGGAGAAUUCACUCCCAGGCGCUUGUAAUGUGGACUACAGCUCCCAGCAUGCUUUACCAGCUGAUAGUGGGAUAGAAGAGUAUGGAGCUCAGCCACAAACUGAGGAUCCGUGGGACAGAGCAGAUACAGGCAGGGGUGAUGCUGCCAUGAAGAGUGUUGAAAAACUCACCUCAGACAGUAGCACCUGGCAAAGAGCUGCCCUGGUAACAGUUUCCUACUAGUGCUUCAUAAUAUUCCAGUACCUCGUUGUCGCCAAACGUGUACCACCGAGCCUUACAACAAAAUGUAAG